Molecule: long non-coding RNA, 348 nt
Filed under: Brassica rapa (field mustard)
Lineage: Eukaryota; Viridiplantae; Streptophyta; Magnoliopsida; Brassicales; Brassicaceae
Description: long non-coding RNA (BRAP_LNC006908)
Source: RNAcentral
UGACAUCUAAAUUUUUUUUGACAAACUCUGACAUCUAAAUGUGCCGGUUCUUUUUGGUGGAGUUUUCUGUGAGCAACUUUUCAGCAUGAUCAUUUUUCGUAAUGAUUUUAGUUUUUUUUUGGUUGGUGAAAUUUGGCUUCUCCCUAAAUUUGUUGAGAUACUUAAUUUAUGUUUACUUAGGGAUUCUAUUUAGGAAUUCGAGAGAACAUAAACGUGUUGUUGUUGUAGGAAUUAGUAGUGGCUCUAUUUUAUGAGUUAUAUAAAUGUUUUAUUUUUUUGAACAUAUUUUUUAUUCCCAUCAACCCAUUAAAAGCAUAAAUAAGCUUACAAAAAAUAAACACUGAAAUC